CGUAGGAGGCAAGCGUUAUCCGGAUUCACUGGGCGUAAAGCGCGUGCAGGUGGCGCGGUAAGUUGGGCGUGAAAUCUCCCGGCUCAACUGGGAGAGGUCGUUCAAUACUACCGUGCUCGAGAGCAGAAGAGGAAGAUGGAAUUCCCGGUGUAGUGGUGAAAUGCGUAGAUAUCGGGAGGAACACCAGUGGCGAAGGCGAUCUUCUGGUCUGUUUCUGACACUCAGACGCGACAGCUAGGGUAGUAAACGGGAUUAGGAGACCCCGGUAAUCCUAGCCGUAAACGAUGUGAACUUGGCGUUGGUGGGUUAAACUCCAUCAGUGCCGUAGCAAACGCGAUAAGUUCACCGCCUGGGGACUACGGCCGCAAGGUUA
This 373-nucleotide ribosomal RNA is filed under the name uncultured organism. RNAcentral describes it as "bacterial SSU rRNA". It matches the Rfam family "Bacterial small subunit ribosomal RNA", at positions 526 to 896 of the family's 1533-position model. The record is from RNAcentral.